ACAGAGUUGGCAGAAUAAUGUGAAUAAUUUAGGUUUAUUUUAUAAGAUGUUUAUAUCUUACUUUGUA
This 67-nucleotide transfer RNA is filed under the name Galiteuthis armata. Its description in RNAcentral is "tRNA-Leu". The record is from RNAcentral. Lineage: Eukaryota; Metazoa; Mollusca; Cephalopoda; Oegopsida; Cranchiidae.